RNAcentral lists this ribosomal RNA (412 nucleotides) under uncultured bacterium. RNAcentral describes it as "bacterial SSU rRNA". It matches the Rfam family "Bacterial small subunit ribosomal RNA", at positions 355 to 776 of the family's 1533-position model. The record is from RNAcentral.
UGGAGAAUCUUGCGCAAUGGGCGAAAGCCUGACGCAGCCACGCCGCGUGUGUGAUGAAGGCCUUCGGGUCGUAAAGCACUGUCGGGAGGGACGAAAGCUUCGGCUUGACGGUACCUCGCAAGAAAGCACCGGCUAACUCCGUGCCAGCAGCCGCGGUAAUACGGAGGGUGCAAGCGUUGCUCGGAUUUACUGGGCGUAAAGCGGGCGCAGGCGGCUGGACAAGUCGGGUGUGAAAGCCCGGGGCUCAACCCCGGAACUGCAUCCGAAACUGUUCGGCUUGAGUACGAUAGAGGUAAGCGGAAUUCCUGGUGUAGAGGUGAAAUUCGUAGAUAUCAGGAGGAACAUCAGCGGCGAAGGCGGCUUACUGGUUCGAUACUGACGCUCAUGCCCGAAAGCGUGGGGAGCAAACAGG